Molecule: ribosomal RNA, 253 nt
Filed under: uncultured bacterium
Lineage: Bacteria
Description: partial 16S ribosomal RNA
Rfam family: Bacterial small subunit ribosomal RNA
Source: RNAcentral
GACGAACCGUGCGAACGUUAUUCGGAAUCACUGGGCUUAAAGGGCGCGUAGGCGGGCCGAAAAGCCAGGGGUGAAAUCCUCCAGCCCAACUGGAGAAGCGCCUUUGGAACUGGCGGCCUCGAGGGGUGCAGGGGCAUGCGGAACUCAGGGUGGAGCGGUGAAAUGCGUAGAUAUCCUGAGGAACACCGGUGGCGAAAGCGGCGUGCUGGACACCUUCUGACGCUGAGGCACGAAAGCGUGGGGAGCAAACAGG